This 73-nucleotide transfer RNA is filed under the name Nanobdellota archaeon. RNAcentral's name for it is "tRNA-Gln". It matches the Rfam family "tRNA". Rfam says of the family: Transfer RNA (tRNA) molecules are approximately 80 nucleotides in length. Their secondary structure includes four short double-helical elements and three loops (D, anti-codon, and T loops). Further hydrogen bonds mediate the characteristic L-shaped molecular structure. tRNAs have two regions of fundamental functional importance: the anti-codon, which is responsible for specific mRNA codon recognition, and the 3' end, to which the tRNAs corresponding amino acid is attached (by aminoacyl-tRNA synthetases). tRNAs cope with the degeneracy of the genetic code in two manners: having more than one tRNA (with a specific anti-codon) for a particular amino acid; and 'wobble' base-pairing, i.e. permitting non-standard base-pairing at the 3rd anti-codon position. Lineage: Archaea; Nanobdellati; Nanobdellota. The record is from RNAcentral.
AGCCCCGUAGUCUAGAGGCCAAGGAUAGCAGGUUUUGGUCCUGCAGACCCAGGUUCGAAUCCUGGCGGGGCUA